GGAAGGAUCAUUAUUGAAAUAAACCUGAUGGGUUGUUGCUGGUUCUCUAGGGAGCAUGUGCACACCUUGUCAUCUUUAUAUCUCCACCUGUGCACCUUUUGUAGACCUUUUAGGUCUAUGUUGGCCCCAAUUACCCCAAUGUAUGUUAAUAGAAUGUUGUGACUAUAUAAUAUAUACAACUUUCAGCAACGGAUCUCUUGGCUCUCGCAUCGAUGAAGAACGCAGCGAAAUGCGAUAAGUAAUGUGAAUUGCAGAAUUCAGUGAAUCAUCGAAUCUUUGAACGCACCUUGCGCUCCUUGGUAUUCCGAGGAGCAUGCCUGUUUGAGUGUCAUUAAUAUAUAUAUCAACCUUCUCUUGAUGAAUGGUUUGGAUGUGGGGGUUUGCUGGCCUCUUGAAGGGUUCAGCUCUCCUGAAAUGCAUUAGCAGAACACAAACCUUGUUCAUUGGCGUGAUAACUAUCUACGCUAUUGAAUGCUAGAGGCAGUUCAGCUUUCUAACAGUCCUCGGACAACUCAUCAUUAAUGUGACCUCAAAUCAGGUAGGACUACCCGCUGAACUUAAGCAUAUCAAUAAGCGGAGGAAAAGAAACUAACAAGGAUUCCCCUAGUAACUGCGAGUGAAGCGGGAAAAGCUCAAAUUUAAAAUCUGGCGGUCUUUUGGCUGUCCGAGUUGUAAUCUAGAGAAGUGUUAUCCGCGCUGGACCAUGUACAAGUCUCCUGGAAUGGAGCAUCAUAGAGGGUGAGAAUCCCGUCUUUGACAUGGACUGCCAGGGCUUUGUGAUGCGCUCUCAAAGAGUCGAGUUGUUUGGGAAUGCAGCUCAAAAUGGGUGGUAAAUUCCAUCUAAAGCUAAAUAUUGGCGAGAGACCGAUAGCGAACAAGUACCGUGAG
This 888-nucleotide small RNA is filed under the name uncultured fungus. RNAcentral describes it as "eukaryotic LSU rRNA". The stretch from base 525 to 888 matches the Rfam family "Eukaryotic large subunit ribosomal RNA", at positions 1 to 357 of the family's 3401-position model. Lineage: Eukaryota; Fungi. The record is from RNAcentral.